Long non-coding RNA from Herpailurus yagouaroundi (jaguarundi), 463 nucleotides. RefSeq lists it as uncharacterized. NCBI's taxonomy places the organism in Eukaryota, Metazoa, Chordata, Mammalia, Carnivora, Felidae. The record is from RefSeq and is a predicted model, not a curated record. The transcript is spliced from 4 exons.
CGGCUCGCUCCUCCGCCUCCUCCCCCUUCGGCGGGCACCGCUAGUACCGCGCAACCAAACCGCCCCCUGCACCGCCGCCUCCUCCUCCUGGCCGCUCCGCCCACAGUCAGCAAGCAACUACAAAGGCUAACUUUCGAAUAUGGGGUGCCACAAUUUAUAAGAACCCUGAACCCUUGAGUCUCCACUUGAAGAAGAGCCUCCCUGACCUACAUACAAAGUGAUACCAUGAGCACUUUCAGGAGAAAUCAGAGAAUGUCUGAGGAAUACCAGUAAUCCAGUUGGAUGGAAAAAAAAAAAAAAAUCAUCAGAGGAACAGCAACAAUCAAAGCUGGAAAGGGAAACCAGUUGGCCCACUAUGAGGGGGUGAGUCAGCGACAGUCAAGAGGCCAUUUUAUCAAGCUCACACUGGGAAAAUCAGGUAAAUUACUGACUGGCACAGGGGCAUGCAACCCACGAAAUACUC